This 428-nucleotide ribosomal RNA is filed under the name uncultured Clostridium sp. RNAcentral describes it as "bacterial SSU rRNA". It matches the Rfam family "Bacterial small subunit ribosomal RNA", at positions 354 to 794 of the family's 1533-position model. The record is from RNAcentral. Lineage: Bacteria; Bacillati; Bacillota; Clostridia; Eubacteriales; Clostridiaceae.
UGGGGGAAUAUUGCGGCAAUGGGGGGAAACCCUGACGCAGCAACGCCGCGUGAUCGAAGAAGGUCUUCGGAUUGUAAAGAUCUUUUAUCAGGGACGAAGAAAGUGACGGUACCUGAUGAAUAAGCUCCGGCUAACUACGUGCCAGCAGCCGCGGUAAUACGUAGGGAGCGAGCGUUGUCCGGAAUUACUGGGUGUAAAGGGAGCGUAGGCGGGGCUUUAAGUCAGGUGUGAAAUGUAUGGGCUCAACCCGUAAACUGCACUUGAAACUGAGGCUCUUGAGUGAAGUAGAGGCAGGCGGAAUUCCUAGUGUAGCGGUGAAAUGCGUAGAUAUUAGGAGGAACAUCAGUGGCGAAGGCGGCCUGCUGGGCUUUUACUGACGCUGAGGCUCGAAAGCGUGGGGAGCAAACAGGAUUAGAUACCCUGGUAGU